RNAcentral lists this ribosomal RNA (376 nucleotides) under uncultured organism. Its description in RNAcentral is "partial 16S ribosomal RNA". It matches the Rfam family "Bacterial small subunit ribosomal RNA", at positions 527 to 897 of the family's 1533-position model. The record is from RNAcentral.
GUAGGUGGCAAGCGUUGUCCGGGAAUUAUUGGGGCGUAAAGCGCGCGCAGGCGGUUCUUUAAGUCUGAUGUGAAAGCCCACGGGCUCAACCGUGGAGGGUCAUUGGAAACUGGAGAACUUGAGUACAGAAGAGGAAAGCGGAAUUCCACGUGUAGCGGUGAAAUGCGUAGAGAUGUGGAGGAACACCAGUGGCGAAGGCGGCUUUCUGGUCUGUAACUGACGCUGAGUCGCGAAAGCGUGGGGAGCAAACAGGAUUAGAUACCCUGGUAGUCCACGCCGUAAACGAUGAGUGCUAAGUGUUAGGGGGUUUCCGCCCCUUAGUGCUGCAGCUAACGCAUUAAGCACUCCGCCUGGGGAGUACGGCCGCAAAGGCUGA